This 545-nucleotide unclassified non-coding RNA is filed under the name uncultured bacterium. RNAcentral describes it as "partial contains 16S ribosomal RNA, 16S-23S ribosomal RNA intergenic spacer, and 23S ribosomal RNA". The stretch from base 415 to 545 matches the Rfam family "Bacterial large subunit ribosomal RNA", at positions 1 to 131 of the family's 2925-position model. The record is from RNAcentral.
UGCGGCUGGAUCCCCUCCCUUCUAAGGAUUAUUAUUCGGAACACGUUCGUUAGAACGUGAAAACGGAAUAACGAUGACAUAUUGCAUUUAGUUUUGAAUGCUCAUUCGAGUAUUCAAGAUUGCACAUUGAAAACUAGAUAGUAAGUAUAGAUUUCACCAAGCAAAACCGAGUGAAUUAGAGUUUUUAAAAGCUUGAAUUCAAAAAAUAAUCGCUAGUGUUUAAUAGAACACUCACAGAUUAAUAACUAAGGUUUUGAGUUGAACAUUCUUGUUUAUGUCUGACUUAUGCUUUGAAAGAAAGCGUUUGGCAGACGAUGAAACAAGCUAAAAGGUAAAGGAGCUUACCACUGUAAGUGACUGCCACCUUGAAGUGAAGUUGAAGAAGGAUGAAAACGUUUGACUCAAAGCAGAAGAGAUUAAGUUAUUAAGGGCGCACGGUGAAUGCCUUGGCACUAGAAGCCGAUGAAGGACGUUACUAACGACGAUAUGCUUUGGGGAGCUGUAAGUAAGCUAUGAUCCAGAGAUUUCCGAAUGGGGAAACCCGG